RNAcentral lists this ribosomal RNA (429 nucleotides) under Bacteroidota bacterium. Its description in RNAcentral is "Bacteroidetes bacterium partial 16S ribosomal RNA". It matches the Rfam family "Bacterial small subunit ribosomal RNA", at positions 355 to 776 of the family's 1533-position model. The record is from RNAcentral. Lineage: Bacteria; Pseudomonadati; Bacteroidota.
UAGGGAAUCUUCCGCAAUGGACGCAAGUCUGACGGAGCAACGCCGCGUGAGUGAAGAAGGAUUUCGGUUCGUAAAACUCUGUUGUUAGAGAAGAACAGCGCAUAGAGUAACUGUUAUGCGUGUGACGGUAUCUAACCAGAAAGCCACGGCUAACUACGUGCCAGCAGCCGCGGUAAUACGUAGGUGGCAAGCGUUGUCCGGAUUUAUUGGGCGUAAAGCGAGCGCAGGCGGUCAAUUAAGUCUGAUGUGAAAGCCCCCGGCUCAACCGGGGGGGGUCAUUGGAAACUGGUUGACUUGAGUGCAGAAGGGAAGAGUGGAAUUCCAUGUGUAGCGGUGAAAUGUGUAGGUAUAUGGAGGAACACCAGUGGCGAAGGCGACUCUCUGGUCUGUAUCCGACGCUGAGGCUAGAAAGCGUGGGUAGCAAACAAG